AUGGUGUCGUCAGCUCGUGUCGUGAGAUGUUGGGUUAAGUCCCGCAACGAGCGCAACCCUUGUCAUUAGUUGCUACAUUCAGUUGGGCACUCUAAUGAGACUGCCGGUGACAAACCGGAGGAAGGUGGGGAUGACGUCAAGUCCUCAUGGCCCUUAUGGGUAGGGCUUCACACGUAAUACAAUGGCGCGUACAGAGGGUUGCCAAGGAGCGAUCUGGAGCCAAUCCCGCAAAGCGCGUCGUAGUCCGGAUUGCAGUCUGCAACUCGACUGCAUGAAGUCGGAAUCGCUAGUAAUCGCGGAUCAGCAUGUCGCGGUGAAUACGUUCCCGGGUCUUGUACACACCGCCCGUCACACCAUGGGAGUGGGUUCCACCAGAAGCCGGUCGCUUAACCGCAAGGAUGGCGCCGACCACGGUGAGAUUCAUGACUGGGGUGAAGUCGUAACAAGGUAGCCGUAUCGGAAGGUGCGGCUGGAUCACCUCCUUUCUAGAGAAAAGCGCUUCCCAGCGCCCACCAUCUAUCGGCUGUUCCUUAAACGAGCGACCAAUCGGGUCUGUAGCUCAGUUGGUUAGAGCACCGUCUUGAUAAGGCGGGGGUCGAUGGUUCGAAUCCAUCCAGACCCACCAGAUCCGCUCGCUCUUUAACAAUCUGGGAUAGAAGGUAGUUGUCUUUUCGAAAGGGCGUUGUGAUGACGCUUUAGUAGGAAGGACACUGGGUUAUGUAUUGCAUCGUGUCCUCACUCGUUCAUGGGUGAGGUGCACAAACUUAAGCGUGAGAGUUAAACCUAUGGCGUUGUGAUGGCGUGGGCGACUUUGGUCUGCGUCGCUUCUUGCUCUAAAGGCGGAGGCAGCAAGGUUAUAGGGUCAAGCGAAUAAGUGCAUGUGGUGGAUACCUUGGCAAUGAUAGGCGACGAAGGACGUGACAGCCUGCGAUAAGCUGCGGGGAGCCGGCAAAUGGGCUUUGAUCCGCGGAUUUCCGAAUGGGGAAACCCGG
RNAcentral lists this small RNA (992 nucleotides) under uncultured Nitrosomonadaceae bacterium. RNAcentral describes it as "bacterial SSU rRNA". The stretch from base 1 to 485 matches the Rfam family "Bacterial small subunit ribosomal RNA", at positions 1045 to 1533 of the family's 1533-position model. Lineage: Bacteria; Pseudomonadati; Pseudomonadota; Betaproteobacteria; Nitrosomonadales; Nitrosomonadaceae. The record is from RNAcentral.